UCAUUGCAAUAAUCGUCAACACCUUCUCACUUGCGCUAUUAUUUUCCCUUCUCACAUCAACUACAUGCAAAGUCUUAUUUCUUGCUACUGACGACCACGAGUGUGUUUUGGUCUAUAUGCCACGCAUCCCUACCCAAAAAAACAACAACAACAACAUCCCCCUGUUCCUCCAUGCAACAACACCCCCCCCCCCCCCCCAACCAAACCCUGACAUAGUCCCACGGCUGUUUGGCGAGGGGGUUUCCUCUCCUUGCUUUUUUAUCUGUGCACUCACUCCAUGACCCUUGUUCCCCUUGUUUCAUGCUGUCUGACCUACAACCCCCCCCCACCCCCACCCCCCUCCGUGUAAAAUAGCCAAGCCACUGCUCACAAAUCCUCCUCUUGCCUCUCCUUCGUCAGCCAAAACCGACUGGUUUUAUUUUCUGUGCCUUUUUCAUUUUUCACAAUGCGCAUUAUGGGAUUUGAAACUCAUACAAAUAACAGUUGGUCGUUUUCUGGCUGCAAGAAGUUCAAUCCCCACACUGCACGCCUGCCCUCCUGGAGGUCUGGAGCCGAGUGGUUGCAGUGCACGCACAAGAACCAGCAGCGGCUCCACGUCGCCCGAGAGCCGGCGUGCACUUUGCAGGGCUGGCUGGCGGUCCUCCCUGAUCCGCUGCUGUCAUGGAGGAGAACCCGGGGCUCCCUUUUUUUUUUUUUUUUCUUCCCAUAGCACGCACGCACUUGCGCGCCACGUGCACGCGCGCGCGCACGCACACACACGAGGGAUCGAUUUGCACGGGACUUGGUCGGGGAACGGCUGAGAAUCGACUUUAAAAAAAAUAAUAAUAAAUACGAGGCUCGAAAGAAGCAGUCGGGGCCGAGUGAGAGAGACGAGCCGAGCCGAGGUGGGACGAAGCCGAGAGGGGGGGAAGAGUGGCCGCGAGUCGGGGCGGAGGGCUCGCACAAAAAACAAAAACCUCCAGGAGAAAGGAUCUCAUAAAGCACCGCACUGAAGAUCGACCUUCGGACGAGCACGCUUUUAUAUAUAUAUAUUUUUUUUUUAGGGUUUGUUUUUCACAAAAUGCGAGAAGAGAAAGCCGCGAGAGAGUCGCCGGACCCACGCGGAGCCAACAGGCUGGACUCGGAGCUCCUUCCCCGGGGCUGCGCUCCGCGACGAGCCGCCCCACGAAUCCCGUCGAAACACCCGCGAUCCCUCCACGCACGUCCCCCGUCCUCACCAAAAAAAAAAACCAAAAGAAAAAGCCCCAUUCUGCUUUAUAACAGCUUCUUUUCUCUCUCUUUUUUUUUCCUCGUAUGUCGAAGGAUCUCUCGCUUGUUCUCGCCCGUAGACGAAGAGGAGAGGACGAGCGCUGAUGUAAACACAGGUAACGACACAACCUGAACCCCUCACCCCACACACCCACUCCAAAAAAACAAAAAAUGUAAAAAAAAAAACCUCGAAACUUCCAUGAAAUGAGAAUUUCUUAUACCCGGAACGGGAGUUUAAAAAAAAGAAAGAAAGAAAGAAAAAGGAAGCUGGGGACCAGCUCCGCUACAAGUCCACCGCCAUGGAGGAGGAAAGAGGCUGACAGAGACAGAAUACGACAACACACACUCACACGCACACACACCAAAAAAAAGGGGAGACAAAAGUUGAAACUUACAAUGUGCCGCUUUGUGAUGUUCGCUUUUUAAUCCAGUAGCGAGACGACGGAGCUAAAGAUCCCAUCAAGGCGAAAAGAGUCCCCUUUCGGUCACUUUGCGCUCGGGGGUGGCCGAAAAAAAAAGAAAGAUCAUUGUUGUUGCCGAGUGCUUGGGUGGAAGGGAAAAAGAAAAAAGGGAAAAAAAAAAAAAAAAAAAAAAGGCGCAAGUAGGUAGCUAUUAGUUGUUCAAGGCGAUAUCAAAAAUAAUUUGGAUGCAAAGCAGCCGCAGUCCGGAGUUGGAGGCGCGCGAGGAAGAGGUGAAAGUGAGAUCUGAUGAUUGGGGGGAAGAAAAAAAACUCUUUGGAUCUUUAUUCCUGCUAAUUAGUUUCCUGCGAGAGAGAAGGAGGAGGAGGAGGAGGGGGGGGGGGAGAAAAUGGCUGUGAUUAAUUCAGUGCGCAUGUGCUUCAUUACACAGGCACGAAGGGAAGGGCUAAUUAGCCGCCUUGUGGAUCAAUAAGAUUCAGCAGAGGAGAGCCGGCGGAGGGAGGGCGAGGAGGAGGGAGGAAGAGGAGGGAGGGAGGAUGGAUAGAUACAAGGAAGGGCGAGAAGGGGGGGAAAAAGGGAAAAAAAAGAGGAAAGUAAUGAUCAGGAAUAGAAAAUAUGGAAUUAAGAGAGGCGGGAAGUAAGAGUUUGAUUAGUGAAAGUGAACGCCGGCUGGCCGAGCUCCACGCUUCCACUCGGCUUGUACACUCUUUUCACACUUUUUCUCGCCUCCGGUGAGGGGGGGGGGGGAUAACAAAAAAAAAAACUAAAAAAAAAAAAAAAACAACAACAACACUUAUGACAUAAUUUAAAAUUGUUUUUAACGCGCGUGUUGCAAAUGAUUUGCACACUUAAAGCGACCAGUGAUGGAUGUUUAUUUGAGCUGGUUUUUUUUUUUUUUUUUAAAUUGUUGUUGUUUUUAUUUUUAAAACUUUCCAUGAAUUGGCGAUGAUUCGUCGUCGCUGUACAGUUGAACAAGUUUAAAAAAAAAACAACAAGUUUUUAAAAAAUGCUUUCCAACUUUGCAUUUACGAUUAAUGCAAAAACUGUAUUUUUUAUUAUUAUUUUUUUCCUGUAUAAGAAACUAUUAUUUACAUCAGAGUAUUUUUUACAUGGGUACAUACAAGUCCAGCCGUCAUAAAAGAUGGAUGAACUGAUAAAGACACAACUGAAAAUAUUGUCACUCGGUGCAGACAUACCGUUACACAUCCAUAUUUCAAUCACACAACUCUAUGAGAAUGUUAGUGAUAUUUCCAUCUUUUAAAGUAACCCAAAAAAUAAAAUAAAAUAAAUGGAAGAAAUACGUGUGCAUUUGAAGCUCUUACGGUUCAACUUGGACAAUACACACGCCCUCUUUUAUUAAGAUACUCUGUAUGAUAAAUAUGUGGCUGUGUGAGCAAUAUGACGGUAGGCACACGUCAAUAAGUCGGUCGUGUAAAAUACGUUAUUAUGACGUCACUGGUUCGUGGGGCACGCACAGACAAACGUUUUGGAAUAGUUGGGACUAAAAUGGAGAAUCCUAAGAGUUUUUUUUUUUUUGGGGGGGGGGAGCUCUUAAUGCACUCACGUUCUUUUUUGUCCUUUGUGUGUGUGUGUGUGUGUAAAUGCAGUGAGAAAAAAAAAACGUGUCGUUUGCAUUUAGGGAGGGGAAAUAUUUAGCUAUUGGGUCAAGUGUCGGAAGAGAUGGAUCUGAUAGAGCGAGGGGCAAAAAGCAUGUCAUUGUGACACAUAUUGUAAACAAACACACUGUCAAUGCAUUCCUUUUUUUUUUGUGUGUGUGUUUUUUUGUUUAAAGAAAUAACCAUACAAGUGAAGGAGAGUGAGGUGGCUCUUGUCUUCUUUUCAUGACGCCAUAUUCGCCCUGUGGAAAUGGCGAAACUCCCUUGCAUGCGUAAUAUAUACAAUAUACCCCUCUCUCUCUCUUGCAUAAUAAAGUAUUUAAUAUUUUAUA
Phyllopteryx taeniolatus (common seadragon) is the source of this 3615-nucleotide long non-coding RNA. RefSeq lists it as uncharacterized. NCBI's taxonomy places the organism in Eukaryota, Metazoa, Chordata, Actinopteri, Syngnathiformes, Syngnathidae. The record is from RefSeq and is a predicted model, not a curated record. The transcript has 2 exons.